Molecule: long non-coding RNA, 418 nt
Organism: Helianthus annuus (common sunflower)
Lineage: Eukaryota; Viridiplantae; Streptophyta; Magnoliopsida; Asterales; Asteraceae
Exons: 3
Source: RefSeq, a predicted model, not a curated record
CCAUCUUGCCCACCUCUCGGCCCACAUCCACAAUUCCUUCCACCGACUCUUGUUCAGCAAUUUAUUCUGCAUGAAGUUUGUAUAUAUAUUGCAUAUGAUUCCUAAAAACACAAACCCUACCUGCCGACUCAUGUAACCCGCUUCCCCUCACCGAAACUCUACGACAACCACUGCCACUUCCUUCUCCGGCGUGUACAAAACCCCGACGACACCGGCGCUCCCCGUUCCACCUCCGGUGGCUCACGAUACUACGACUCGAAACUCCGCUUAUUUCUCUUCUUAUCGCACGUCCCGAUACGGCAUCAACGUCAGGAACUAAUUGAUUAACUUGGAACACGUAUUUUAAUCUUACCGAGCAAAACCAAGGUAAUUACUGAAGGGACUUGGGAGCUUGCUGUCUGAUGCUGCUGGAGUGGUU